Rosa rugosa (rugosa rose) is the source of this 108-nucleotide small nucleolar RNA. RefSeq annotates it as small nucleolar RNA snoR126. The record is from RefSeq and is a predicted model, not a curated record. The transcript has a single exon. NCBI's taxonomy places the organism in Eukaryota, Viridiplantae, Streptophyta, Magnoliopsida, Rosales, Rosaceae.
GGGCGAUGAUGAUGAAACGUUUCUCGAUUCUGAGUUUAUGUUAUAUAUAUAUACAUAGACUAAUGCUUUUGCUGCUUGAUGACUGGUAUUUAUGCGUGUCUGAGCCCU